CAGCCGCCACGGUAAUACGGAGGGUGCAAGCGUUAAUCGGAAUUACUGGGCGUAAAGCGCACGCAGGCGGUCUGUCAAGUCAGAUGUGAAAUCCCCGGGCUUAACCUGGGAACUGCAUUUGAAACUGGCAGGCUAGAGUCUUGUAGAGGGGGGUAGAAUUCCAGGUGUAGCGGUGAAAUGCGUAGAGAUCUGGAGGAAUACCGGUGGCGAAGGCGGCCCCCUGGACAAAGACUGACGCUCAGGUGCGAAAGCGUGGGGAGCAAACAGGAUUAGAUACCCCGGUAGUCCCUGUCUCUUAUAA
This 301-nucleotide ribosomal RNA is filed under the name uncultured bacterium. RNAcentral describes it as "partial 16S ribosomal RNA". It matches the Rfam family "Bacterial small subunit ribosomal RNA", at positions 509 to 809 of the family's 1533-position model. The record is from RNAcentral.